UACGAAGGGGGCUAGCGUUGCUCGGAAUGACUGGGCGUAAAGGGCGCGUAGGCGGCUCAUACGGUCAGGCGUGAAAUUCCUGGGCUCAACCUGGGGACUGCGCUUGAGACGUGUGGGCUUGAGUGGGGAAGAGGGUCGUGGAAUUCCCAGUGUAGAGGUGAAAUUCGUAGAUAUUGGGAAGAACACCGGUGGCGAAGGCGGCGACCUGGUCCUUGACUGACGCUGAGGCGCGAAAGCGUGGGGAGCAAACAGG
Molecule: ribosomal RNA, 253 nt
Filed under: uncultured bacterium
Lineage: Bacteria
Description: partial 16S ribosomal RNA
Rfam family: Bacterial small subunit ribosomal RNA
Source: RNAcentral